This 399-nucleotide ribosomal RNA is filed under the name uncultured bacterium. RNAcentral describes it as "partial 16S ribosomal RNA". It matches the Rfam family "Bacterial small subunit ribosomal RNA", at positions 338 to 734 of the family's 1533-position model. The record is from RNAcentral.
CCUACGGGCGGCAGCAGUGAGGAAUAUUGGUCAAUGGGCGCAAGCCUGAACCAGCCAAGUAGCGUGAAGGAAGACGGCCCUAUGGUUUGUAAACUUCUUUUAUAAGGGAAUAAAGGUAGACUCGUGUGGAUUUUUUGAUGUACGUUAUGAAUAAGAAUCGGCUAACUCCGGGCCAGCAGCGGCGGUAAUAUGGAGGAUGCGAGCGUUAUCCGGAUUUAUUGGGGUUAAAGGGAGCGUAGGGGGGUUGUUAAGUCAGUUGUGAAAGUUUGUGGCUCAACCGUAAAAUUGCAAUUGAUACUGGGAGGCUUGAGUACUGUUGGGGGAGGCGGAAUUCGUGGUGUAGCGGUGAAAUGCUUAGAUAUCAGGAAGAACUCCGAUGGCGAAGGCAGCUUACUAAGA